AGAUUAAGUUAUUAAGGGCGCACGGUGGAUGCCUUGGCACUAGAAGCCGAUGAAGGACGUUACUAACGACGAUAUGCUUUGGGGAGCUGUAAGUAAGCGUUGAUCCAGAGAUUUCCGAAUGGGGAAACCCAGCAUGAGUUAUGUCAUGUUAUCGAUAUGUGAAUACAUAGCAUAUCAGAAGGCAGACCCGGAGAACUGAAACAUCUUAGUACCCGGAGGAAGAGAAAGAAAAAUCGAUUCCCUGAGUAGCGGCGAGCGAAACGGGAAGAGCCCAAACCAACAAGCUUGCUUGUUGGGGUUGUAGGACACUCUAUACGGAGUUACAAAAGUAUAUAUUAGACGAAUCAUCUGGAAAGUUGAAUCAAAGAAGGUAAUAAUCCU
Molecule: ribosomal RNA, 381 nt
Filed under: Acinetobacter baumannii
Lineage: Bacteria; Pseudomonadati; Pseudomonadota; Gammaproteobacteria; Moraxellales; Moraxellaceae
Description: bacterial LSU rRNA
Rfam family: Bacterial large subunit ribosomal RNA
Source: RNAcentral